AUAUGCCUUAUGGUGGGGGACAACAGUUGGAAACGAUUGCUAAUACCGCAUAAUGUCUACGGACCAAAGGGGGGGAUCUUCGGACCUCUCGCCAUUUGAUUAGCCCAAGUGAGAUUAGCUAGUUGGUAAGGUAAUGGCUUACCAAGGCGACGAUCUCUAGCUGGUUUGAGAGGAUGAUCAGCCACACUGGGACUGAGACACGGCCCAGACUCCUACGGGAGGCAGCAGUGGGGAAUAUUGCACAAUGGGCGAAAGCCUGAUGCAGCCAUGCCGCGUGUGUGAAGAAGGCCUUCGGGUUGUAAAGCACUUUCAGUCGUGAGGAAAGGUAUUCGUUUAAUAAACGGAUACUGUGACGUUAGCGACAGAAGAAGGACCGGCUAACUCCGUGCCAGCAGCCGCGGUAAUACGGAGGGUCCGAGCGUUAAUCGGAAUUACUGGGCGUAAAGCGUGCGUAGGCGGUUGAUUAAGUCAGAUGUGAAAUCCCGGGGCUCAACCUCGGAACUGCAUUUGAAACUGGUCAACUAGAGUAUUGUAGAGGGUGGUGGAAUUUCCAGUGUAGCGGUGAAAUGCGUAGAGAUUGGAAGGAACAUCAGUGGCGAAGGCGGCCACCUGGACAAAUACUGACGCUGAGGCACGAAAGCGUGGGGAGCGAACAG
RNAcentral lists this ribosomal RNA (656 nucleotides) under uncultured bacterium. RNAcentral's name for it is "bacterial SSU rRNA". It matches the Rfam family "Bacterial small subunit ribosomal RNA", at positions 124 to 775 of the family's 1533-position model. The record is from RNAcentral.